RNAcentral lists this ribosomal RNA (522 nucleotides) under uncultured bacterium. Its description in RNAcentral is "partial 16S ribosomal RNA". It matches the Rfam family "Bacterial small subunit ribosomal RNA", at positions 28 to 523 of the family's 1533-position model. The record is from RNAcentral.
GACGAACGCUGGCGGCGUGCCUAAUACAUGCAAGUCGAGCGGGCCUCCGGAGGUGCUUGCACCUCCGGAAGGCCAGCGGCGGACGGGUGAGUAACACGUGGGCAACCUGCCUUUGAGGCCGGGAUAACACCGGGAAACCGGUGCUAAUACCGGAUACGUCCUCUUUCGCGCCUGCGAGAGGGGAGAAAGACGGUCUUUAAGGCCGUCGCUCAAGGAGGGGGCCGCGGCGCAUUAGCUGGUUGGUGGGGUAAGGGCCUACCAAGGCGACGAUGCGUUGCCGACCUGAGAGGGUGAUCGGCCACACUGGGACUGAGACACGGCCCAGACUCCUGCGGGAGGCAGCAGUAGGGAAUCAUCCGCAAUGGGCGAAAGCCUGACGGUGCAACGCCGCGUGAGUGAGGAAGGUUUUCGGAUCGUAAAGCUCUGUUGUGAGGGAAGAACAGCUUCCGGAGGAAAUGCCGGAGGUUUGCCGGUACCUCACCAGAAAGCCCCGGCUAACUACGUGCCAGCCGCCCGCGGUAA